UAUGGUCAAGUGAAGAAGCGCAUACGGUGGAUGCCUUGGCAGUCAGAGGCGAUGAAAGACGUGGUAGCCUGCGAAAAGCUUCGGGGAGUCGGCAAACAGACUUUGAUCCGGAGAUGUCUGAAUGGGGGAACCCAGCCAUCAUAAGAUGGUUAUCUUGUACUGAAUACAUAGGUGCAAGAGGCGAACCAGGGGAACUGAAACAUCUAAGUACCCUGAGGAAAAGAAAUCAACCGAGAUUCCCUUAGUAGUGGCGAGCGAACGGGGACUAGCCCUUAAGUGGCUUUGAGAUUAGCGGAACGCUCUGGAAAGUGCGGCCAUAGUGGGUGAUAGCCCUGUACGCGAAAAUCUCUUAGUCAUGAAAUCGAGUAGGACGGGGCACGAGAAACCUUGUCUGAAUAUGGGGGGACCAUCCUCCAAGGCUAAAUACUACUGACUGACCGAUAGUGAACUAGUACCGUGAGGGAAAGGCGAAAAGAACCCCGGAGAGGGGAGUGAAAUAGAUCCUGAAACCGUAUGCGUACAAGCAGUGGGAGCCCACUUUGUUGGGUGACUGCGUACCUUUUGUAUAAUGGGUCAGCGACUUAUUUUCAGUGGCGAGCUUAACCGAAUAGGGGAGGCGUAGCGAAAGCGAGUCUUAAUAGGGCGUCUAGUCGCUGGGAAUAGACCCGAAACCGGGCGAUCUAUCCAUGGGCAGGUUGAAGGUUGGGUAACACUAACUGGAGGACCGAACCGACUACCGUUGAAAAGUUAGCGGAUGACCUGUGGAUCGGAGUGAAAGGCUAAUCAAGCUCGGAGAUAGCUGGUUCUCCUCGAAAGCUAUUUAGGUAGCGCCUCAUGUAUCACUGUAGGGGGUAGAGCACUGUUUCGGCUAGGGGGUCAUCCCGACUUACCAAACCGAUGCAAACUCCGAAUACCUACAAGUGCCGAGCAUGGGAGACACACGGCGGGUGCUAACGUCCGUCGUGAAAAGGGAAACAACCCAGACCGUCAGCUAAGGUCCCAAAGUCAUGGUUAAGUGGGAAACGAUGUGGGAAGGCUUAGACAGCUAGGAGGUUGGCUUAGAAGCAGCCACCCUUUAAAGAAAGCGUAAUAGCUCACUAGUCGAGUCGGCCUGCGCGGAAGAUGUAACGGGGCUCAAACCAUGCACCGAAGCUACGGGUAUCACUUAGGUGAUGCGGUAGAGGAGCGUUCUGUAAGCCUGUGAAGGUGAGUUGAGAAGCUUGCUGGAGGUAUCAGAAGUGCGAAUGCUGACAUGAGUAACGACAAUGGGUGUGAAAAACACCCACGCCGAAAGACCAAGGUUUCCUGCGCAACGUUAAUCGACGCAGGGUUAGUCGGUCCCUAAGGCGAGGCUGAAAAGCGUAGUCGAUGGAAAACAGGUUAAUAUUCCUGUACUUCUGGUUAUUGCGAUGGAGGGACGGAGAAGGCUAGGCCAGCUUGGCGUUGGUUGUCCAAGUUUAAGGUGGUAGGCUGAGAUCUUAGGUAAAUCCGGGAUCUUAAGGCCGAGAGCUGAUGACGAGUUGCCAUUAGGCGACGAAGUGGUUGAUGCCAUGCUUCCAAGAAAAGCUUCUAAGCUUCAGGUAACCAGGAACCGUACCCCAAACCGACACAGGUGGUUGGGUAGAGAAUACCAAGGCGCUUGAGAGAACUCGGGUGAAGGAACUAGGCAAAAUGGCACCGUAACUUCGGGAGAAGGUGCGCCGGUGAGGGUGAAGGACUUGCUCCGUAAGCCCAUGCCGGUCGAAGAUACCAGGCCGCUGCGACUGUUUAUUAAAAACACAGCACUCUGCAAACACGAAAGUGGACGUAUAGGGUGUGACGCCUGCCCGGUGCCGGAAGGUUAAUUGAUGGGGUUAGCUAACGCGAAGCUCUUGAUCGAAGCCCCGGUAAACGGCGGCCGUAACUAUAACGGUCCUAAGGUAGCGAAAUUCCUUGUCGGGUAAGUUCCGACCUGCACGAAUGGCGUAACGAUGGCGGCGCUGUCUCCACCCGAGACUCAGUGAAAUUGAAAUCGCUGUGAAGAUGCAGUGUAUCCGCGGCUAGACGGAAAGACCCCGUGAACCUUUACUAUAGCUUUGCACUGGACUUUGAAUUUGCUUGUGUAGGAUAGGUGGGAGGCUUUGAAGCGUGGACGCCAGUUCGCGUGGAGCCAACCUUGAAAUACCACCCUGGCAACUUUGAGGUUCUAACUCAGGUCCGUUAUCCGGAUCGAGGACAGUGUAUGGUGGGUAGUUUGACUGGGGCGGUCUCCUCCUAAAGAGUAACGGAGGAGUACGAAGGUGCGCUCAGACCGGUCGGAAAUCGGUCGUAGAGUAUAAAGGCAAAAGCGCGCUUGACUGCGAGACAGACACGUCGAGCAGGUACGAAAGUAGGUCUUAGUGAUCCGGUGGUUCUGUAUGGAAGGGCCAUCGCUCAACGGAUAAAAGGUACUCCGGGGAUAACAGGCUGAUACCGCCCAAGAGUUCAUAUCGACGGCGGUGUUUGGCACCUCGAUGUCGGCUCAUCACAUCCUGGGGCUGAAGCCGGUCCCAAGGGUAUGGCUGUUCGCCAUUUAAAGUGGUACGCGAGCUGGGUUUAGAACGUCGUGAGACAGUUCGGUCCCUAUCUGCCGUGGACGUUUGAGAUUUGAGAGGGGCUGCUCCUAGUACGAGAGGACCGGAGUGGACGAACCUCUGGUGUUCCGGUUGUCACGCCAGUGGCAUUGCCGGGUAGCUAUGUUCGGGAAAGAUAACCGCUGAAAGCAUCUAAGCGGGAAACUUGCCUCAAGAUGAGAUCUCACUGGAACCUUGAGUUCCCUAAAGGGCCGUCGAAGACUACGACGUUGAUAGGUUGGGUGUGUAAGCGCUGUGAGGCGUUGAGCUAACCAAUACUAAUUGCCCGUGAGGCUUGACCAUA
Molecule: ribosomal RNA, 2895 nt
Filed under: Pseudomonas asplenii
Lineage: Bacteria; Pseudomonadati; Pseudomonadota; Gammaproteobacteria; Pseudomonadales; Pseudomonadaceae
Description: bacterial LSU rRNA
Rfam family: Bacterial large subunit ribosomal RNA
Source: RNAcentral